Molecule: transfer RNA, 82 nt
Filed under: Gloeomargaritaceae cyanobacterium C42_A2020_066
Lineage: Bacteria; Bacillati; Cyanobacteriota; Cyanophyceae; Gloeomargaritales; Gloeomargaritaceae
Rfam family: tRNA
About the family: Transfer RNA (tRNA) molecules are approximately 80 nucleotides in length. Their secondary structure includes four short double-helical elements and three loops (D, anti-codon, and T loops). Further hydrogen bonds mediate the characteristic L-shaped molecular structure. tRNAs have two regions of fundamental functional importance: the anti-codon, which is responsible for specific mRNA codon recognition, and the 3' end, to which the tRNAs corresponding amino acid is attached (by aminoacyl-tRNA synthetases). tRNAs cope with the degeneracy of the genetic code in two manners: having more than one tRNA (with a specific anti-codon) for a particular amino acid; and 'wobble' base-pairing, i.e. permitting non-standard base-pairing at the 3rd anti-codon position.
Source: Rfam by way of RNAcentral
GCGGAUGUGGUGGAAUUGGUAGACACACCAUCUUGAGGGGGUGGCGCCGCAAGGUGUGCGAGUUCGAAUCUCGCCAUCCGCA